CUGCGGAGGGAUCAUUACAAGUGACCCCGGUCUAACCACCGGGAUGUUCAUAACCCUUUGUUGUCCGACUCUGUUGCCUCCGGGGCGACCCUGCCUUCGGGCGGGGGCUCCGGGUGGACACUUCAAACUCUUGCGUAACUUUGCAGUCUGAGUAAACUUAAUUAAUAAAUUAAAACUUUUAACAACGGAUCUCUUGGUUCUGGCAUCGAUGAAGAACGCAGCGAAAUGCGAUAAGUAAUGUGAAUUGCAGAAUUCAGUGAAUCAUCGAAUCUUUGAACGCACAUUGCGCCCCCUGGUAUUCCGGGGGGCAUGCCUGUUCGAGCGUCAUUUCACCACUCAAGCCUCGCUUGGUAUUGGGCAACGCGGUCCGCCGCGUGCCUCAAAUCGACCGGCUGGGUCUUCUGUCCCCUAAGCGUUGUGGAAACUAUUCGCUAAAGGGUGUUCGGGAGGCUACGCCGUAAAACAACCCCAUUUCUAAGGUUGACCUCGGAUCAGGUAGGGAUACCCGCUGAACUUAAGCAUAUCAAUAAG
Molecule: ribosomal RNA, 531 nt
Filed under: fungal sp. ARIZ L545
Lineage: Eukaryota; Fungi
Description: eukaryotic LSU rRNA
Rfam family: 5.8S ribosomal RNA (bases 174-327)
Source: RNAcentral